AUUGAACGCUGGCGGCAUGCCUUACACAUGCAAGUCGAACGGCAGCACGGGAGCAAUCCUGGUGGAGAGUGGCGAACGGGUGAGUAAUAUAUCGGAACGUGCCCAGUCGUGGGGAUAACGUAGCGAAAGUUACGCUAAUACCGCAUACGAUCUAAGGAUGAAAGCGGGGGAUCGCAAGACCUCGCGCGAUUGGAGCGGCCGAUAUCAGAUUAGGUAGUUGGUGAGGUAAAGGCUCACCAAGCCAACGAUCUGUAGCUGGUCUGAGAGGACGACCAGCCACACUGGAACUGAGACACGGCCCAGACUCCUACGGGAGGCAGCAGUGGGGAAUUUUGGACAAUGGGCGGCAAGCCUGAUCCAGCAAUGCCGCGUGCAGGAUGAAGGCCUGGUUGUAACGUAG
RNAcentral lists this ribosomal RNA (400 nucleotides) under uncultured bacterium. RNAcentral's name for it is "bacterial SSU rRNA". It matches the Rfam family "Bacterial small subunit ribosomal RNA", at positions 30 to 432 of the family's 1533-position model. The record is from RNAcentral.